GUGUCAGCAGCCGCGGUAAUACAGAGGGUGCGAGCGUUGUCCGGAAUCACUGGGCGUAAAGGGCGCGUAGGCGGCUUGGGAAGUCCGUGGUGAAAGCUCGUGGCUCAACUGCGAGUCGGCCAUGGAUACUCCUAGGCUUGAGUCGACUAGAGGCAGAUGGAAUUCCGGGUGUAGCGGUGGAAUGCGUAGAGAUCCGGAAGAACACCGGUGGCGAAGGCGGUCUGCUGGGGUCGAACUGACGCUGAGGCGCGACAGCGUGGGGAGCAAACAGGAUUAGAUACCCUGGUAGUCCACGCCGUAAACGAUGGGCACUAGGUGCUUGGGGGAGCGACCCCCUGAGUGCCGGCGCUAACGCAUUAAGUGCCCCGCCUGGGGAGUACGGCCGCAAGGCUGAA
RNAcentral lists this ribosomal RNA (395 nucleotides) under uncultured bacterium. RNAcentral's name for it is "bacterial SSU rRNA". It matches the Rfam family "Bacterial small subunit ribosomal RNA", at positions 505 to 898 of the family's 1533-position model. The record is from RNAcentral.